UCUGGGACAAGCCCUGGAAACGGGGUCUAAUACCGGAUAACACUCUCCGAGGCAUCUGGGGGGGUUGAAAGCUCCGGCGGUGAAGGAUGAGCCCGCGGCCUAUCAGCUUGUUGGUGAGGUAGAAGCUCACCAAGGCGACGACGGGUAGCCGGCCUGAGAGGGCGACCGGCCACACUGGGACUGAGACACGGCCCAGACUCCUACGGGAGGCAGCAGUGGGGAAUAUUGCACAAUGGGCGAAAGCCUGAUGCAGCGACGCCGCGUGAGGGAUGACGGCCUUCGGGUUGUAAACCUCUUUCAGCAGGGAAGAAGCGAAAGUGACGGUACCUGCAGAAGAAGCGCCGGCUAACUACGUGCCAGCAGCCGCGGUAAUACGUAGGGCGCAAGCGUUGUCCGGAAUUAUUGGGCGUAAAGAGCUCGUAGGCGGUCUGUCACGUCGGAUGUGAAAGCCCGGGGCUUAACCCCGGGUCUGCAUUCGAUACGGGCAGACUAGAGUGUGGUAGGGGAGAUCGGAAUUCCUGGUGUAGCGGUGAAAUGCGCAGAUAUCAGGAGGAACACCGGUGGCGAAGGCGGAUCUCUGGGCCAUUACUGACGCUGAGGAGCGAAAGCGUGGGGAGCGAACAGGAUUAGAUACCCUGGUAGUCCACGCCGUAAACGGUGGGAACUAGGUGUUGGCGACAUUCCACGUCGUCGGUGCCGCAGCUAACGCAUUAAGUUCCCCGCCUGG
RNAcentral lists this ribosomal RNA (727 nucleotides) under Streptomyces sp. RNAcentral's name for it is "bacterial SSU rRNA". It matches the Rfam family "Bacterial small subunit ribosomal RNA", at positions 137 to 876 of the family's 1533-position model. The record is from RNAcentral. Lineage: Bacteria; Bacillati; Actinomycetota; Actinomycetes; Kitasatosporales; Streptomycetaceae.